GCAAUUUCAGUUAAUUGUAUGCCAUUAGCAUUUAAUUGAGCAGCGUGGCUGGAGAAAACUGCGUGGCUGGAGGAGCAAUUGAAAAAUGGAUAAGAUAAUAAAACAAAAAAGUGAUCAAAUAAUGAAGCUGCAGGCCCAGUUAUUGGAACAACACAAAAUAUUAGAUAACAACGAAGCUAAGGAUGCUCAAAUUUUUGAGUCUACAAGCUCAGCUAGGGGAAAAGAACAAAUUGGAACAAAACAGUUUCCAAACAGUGAAGGAGGUUUUUCAAAACUCAUCCCUAACUGAACGUGAGGAUGAGUUGGCAUUAGGUGAACACAGUCAGUUAUUCAGUCCACCACCUGACAGUGUGUUAAAUUUAAAUUCUGUUAGUGCUGCACUAAAAGAAUUGUUAGUAAUAAGUCCAUGCAGCGAAGGAACUGAAGAAAUGUGGUACUGUAUUUGGGCGGAAAAUGGGUGUGGUAUGGAAACACAGAAAUGGCAUGAGUUCAACCUAAAACA
Molecule: long non-coding RNA, 502 nt
Organism: Daphnia carinata
Lineage: Eukaryota; Metazoa; Arthropoda; Branchiopoda; Diplostraca; Daphniidae
Exons: 4
Source: RefSeq, a predicted model, not a curated record